Molecule: ribosomal RNA, 478 nt
Filed under: uncultured bacterium
Lineage: Bacteria
Description: bacterial SSU rRNA
Rfam family: Bacterial small subunit ribosomal RNA
Source: RNAcentral
CCUUCGGGUUGUAAAGCACUUUUGUUGGGGAAGAAACCGGCCGGGUUAAUACCCUGGUUGAAUGACGGUACCCAAAGAAUAAGCACCGGCUAACUUCGUGCCAGCAGCCGCGGUAAUACGAAGGGUGCAAGCGUUACUCGGAAUUACUGGGCGUAAAGCGUGCGUAGGCGGUUUGUUAAGUCUGCUGUGAAAGCCCUGGGCUCAACCUGGGGAACUGCAGUGGAUACUGGCGAGCUAGAGUGUGUCAGAGGAUGGUGGAAUUCCCGGUGUAGCGGUGAAAUGCGUAGAGAUCGGGAGGAACACCAGUGGCGAAGGCGGCCAUCUGGGGACAACACUGACGCUGAGGCACGAAAGCGUGGGGAGCGAAACAGGGAUUAGAUACCCUGGUAGUCCACGCCCUAACGAUGCGAACUGGACGUUGGGGCACACUAGGUGCUCAGUGUCGAAGCUAACGCGUUAAGUUCGCCGCCUGGGAGUA